AGGAUGAACGCUGGCGGCGUGCCUAAUACAUGCAAGUCGAGCGAACAGAUGAGAAGCUUGCUUCUCUGAUGUUAGCGGCGGACGGGUGAGUAACACGUGGGUAACCUACCUAUAAGACUGGGAUAACUCCGGGAAACCGGGGCUAAUACCGGAUAAUAUUUUGAACCGCAUGGUUCAAUAGUGAAAGACGGUUUCGGCUGUCACUUAUAGAUGGACCCGCGCCGUAUUAGCUAGUUGGUAAGGUAACGGCUUACCAAGGCGACGAUACGUAGCCGACCUGAGAGGGUGAUCGGCCACACUGGAACUGAGACACGGUCCAGACUCCUACGGGAGGCAGCAGUAGGGAAUCUUCCGCAAUGGGCGAAAGCCUGACGGAGCAACGCCGCGUGAGUGAUGAAGGUCUUCGGAUCGUAAAACUCUGUUGUUAGGGAAGAACAAAUUUGUUAGUAACU
Molecule: ribosomal RNA, 452 nt
Filed under: Mammaliicoccus sciuri
Lineage: Bacteria; Bacillati; Bacillota; Bacilli; Caryophanales; Staphylococcaceae
Description: bacterial SSU rRNA
Rfam family: Bacterial small subunit ribosomal RNA
Source: RNAcentral